UGGCUCAGGACGAACGCUGGCGGCGUGCCUAAUACAUGCAAGUCGAGCGGGAUUAUWUCAGAAGCUUGCUUCUGAUAUAAUCUAGCGGCGGACGGGUGAGUAACACGUAGGCAACCUGCCCACAAGGCUGGGAUAACUACCGGAAACGGUAGCUAAUACCGGAUACAUCGUUUCCCUGCAUGGGGAGAUGAGGAAAGGCGGAGYAAUCUGUCACUUGUGGAUGGGCCUGCGGCGCAUUAGYUAGUUGGUGGGGUAAUGGCCUACCAAGGCGACGAUGCGUAGCCGACCUGAGAGGGUGAUCGGCCACACUGGGACUGAGACACGGCCCAGACUCCUACGGGAGGCAGCAGUAGGGAAUCUUCCGCAAUGGGCGAAAGCCUGACGGAGCAACGCCGCGUGAGUGAUGAAGGUUUUCGGAUCGUAAAGCUCUGUUGCCAGGGAAGAACGUCUUGUAGAGUAACUGCUAUGAGAGUGAC
Molecule: ribosomal RNA, 476 nt
Filed under: Paenibacillus sp. R-46252
Lineage: Bacteria; Bacillati; Bacillota; Bacilli; Caryophanales; Paenibacillaceae
Description: bacterial SSU rRNA
Rfam family: Bacterial small subunit ribosomal RNA
Source: RNAcentral